This is a small nucleolar RNA of Sorex fumeus (smoky shrew), 101 nucleotides long. RefSeq annotates it as small nucleolar RNA U13. The record is from RefSeq and is a predicted model, not a curated record. The transcript has a single exon. NCBI's taxonomy places the organism in Eukaryota, Metazoa, Chordata, Mammalia, Eulipotyphla, Soricidae.
AUCCUUUUCAGCUUUAUCAGUAGGAUGAUUGUGUGUUCACACAUUUGUUUGAUGUGCCUCCCUUAAAUCUUGUAUGACAUAGGCACAUUGCCCAUCUGACA